This is a long non-coding RNA of Beta vulgaris subsp. vulgaris (sugar beet), 1135 nucleotides long. RefSeq lists it as uncharacterized. NCBI's taxonomy places the organism in Eukaryota, Viridiplantae, Streptophyta, Magnoliopsida, Caryophyllales, Amaranthaceae. The transcript is spliced from 2 exons. The record is from RefSeq and is a predicted model, not a curated record.
AUUUAAAAAGUCGUUGCAUUAGUUUGAUCUAUUGCAACGCCUUUACUGAUCUAAUGCAACAUUGUGGUUGGGAGCGUUGCACUAGACUUCCCUUUGUAAUGGAAAGGAAUCAACCGUUGCAUUAGCCCAUCCUACUGCGACGGUUCCACGCAAACUGUUGCGUAAACCCAUUUUCAAUCGUUGCAUUUGAUCAGAAAUGUAGUAUCAAGACCAUUUGAUCAGGUAUAACCCUACCAUCAGUGCUUUUGAUUUUUCAUAUCAAUUGACAUAGCUGAAGCAUGAUAGUAAUUUCUUUUUUUCAAAAAAAAAGCAUGAUAACAAUUAGUAAGAAGGUUAGUCACCCUUUCUUCCAUGAGAUCUCCUUAGCAAUAUAUAUGCCUUGGAUAGUUGGAUGGCUUCUACUAUGGAAUUAUUGUAGGUUUUUAUCUAUGCAUGCACAUCUUUUUACAAUUUUAAUAAGUUAGCUCUAUGUAUCAUCUAGUUAAACGUUGCAGCAUGAGUUAUCUGUACACUCACUGCGUAAGGUGAAACUCUGUUCUUGCGUAUAGAUCAUAUUAAUUUAACACCUUGUUUGAUAUAUCUUGAAUUCCUAUUAUUUGAAAUUUUUAGUAAUGGCUGGUGCUUUCAUGACUUGGUUAUAAAUGUGAUUGUCAUCUGGCAGAAUAAGCUAGUUUGAAUUAUAUUUACUCCAGUUAAAACUGAAUGUGGACUGAAAAAGGAAUCAAGUGGUUGGCAUCGUCCUUGAUAACAUGAUGACUGAAAGCCAAGCUGAAUAUGAGUGAUUAUCACCAAUACUGCUCUGCAUGGCUCUCAACUGAUCGACGUUAAUGCUAAAAUAGUUGGCCGGAUUUGGCUAUUUAUUGGUUGUUGAUGAUAUUGAAUGCACCCAGGACUAUUAUUAGGAUUCUACAAAGUGAAGGUGUUGUUCCAUUUUCCCAGCAACUUAUUGCGACUAAAAGAGCUUGGUGUGCAUGGCGUGAUUACUUUAAUUGAGCUUGGUGCACACUUUUUCUGGCUACUAGUUAGAUAUAGGAUUCUUGCUCCUGUAUCUUAUUGCUGUAACUUUCUUGAUGCAAAUAAAUGAUCUCUGUUUAUGAAAAAUAAUGUGAUGUUUGUCCUUUUCUCUUUGUUCGAA